GCGGCGGGGCGGCAGCGGGCCCGGGGCUGGGCCGGGCUGGGCUCGGGCGGAGCCCGACCAGACCACCGUGGCCGCUGCAGUUCUUCCCCGCGGGAGCCCGCGGAGGCGAGGGCCAGGGCCAGGGCCCCGUGGGAGGAUCGGCGCUGCGCAGCUCGUGGCCGGCGACGUGCGAUCGCGUCUCCUGCGGGGGCGCCCCGGACCUGGCCGGAGACGAGCGGUAAAGCUGCACAUCCGGGCGCGAGUGUCCCGCGCUCACAGACCUCUCCUAAGAGAAGGUGUCCAGCGACCAGGACAGCAUCCGAUUUUCCGUAGCGCCAGCCCUCCCUUGGUAUCUCGUCGGCUUCCUUUAGUUGCAUGACUAUGACAACUCCAUCAAAACCGGACCGGAUAGCAGGAAUGCCGGACCGCAGAGAGCUCUGCAGAAAGGCUCUCUGGCUCCGAAGCCUACAGCGGCUUGGGGCCUGCCUUCCAAAGGGAAUUGUAGACCACACCCUGGAAAGUUCUGGAUUUUAAAAUCAGUUUUAAUACCUGUCAAGCGUGUGUUAAUUUUUAAGUCACGGGAUGCACAGGACCCUGUAUAAGGCCGAGGUCUCCCCGGUUUGCGUGCCCUGCAGAACCAAGGCUGUGUCCAGUAACCUGUGUUGCCAGGGCUUUAGCCUGUUGCUCGGAUGUGUCCUUCCGCUGCCGCUGACUCCAUUCCUUCAAAGACUGGGUUUGGCUGGUGUCCGAUGGAUGCUAUGAGGUCCCUAACACUACGAACCUCACCUGUCUGCAUUGCUGGUGCAGAACAAACAGCCCUCCUGUGAGGCAGGCGUGGCCCAUGUGGGUUCACAGCCAGCCUCUGAGCCAUGGGACAUUUCUCCAGCUCUGCCCCCCAAACUGUUCCGAACACGUAUCUGGAGAUCCACGUUGCCUGGCCUGGGGUUGCCCCUUCCACAACCAGCCAGGGCCGAGGUGCUGUCUGUGUCCCACGCCCACCUUACCAAGUGACCCCGACUUGGUGGCUUCAAACAGAAGUUUAUUCUGCCAUGGUUCUGGAGGCCGGAAGUUGGAUCCACAGCACCGGGCUGAGGUGAAGAGGCCGGCAGGGCGGGCCGCCCGGAGGCCACGGGGAGAAUCCCUUCGGCCACCUCCAGUCCUUCCUGGGUGGUGACUUUGUCCUCCAGCCCCUGCCUCCUGGGCACAUAGCUCCCAGUAAUUGCUACUGGGAGGGACUCUGUCCAGGAGCUUUUAUACCACACAACAGGCAGGCUCAGACCGCCCAAGUCAGGCUGAGGUAGGCCCACAGGACUAAACCAGCUUGCUUACGCUGGAAAUGGGCCCGAGGAGUCAAGGCCGGGGCAGGCCCGUCUGCAGGGGCCUCUUGGCCGCUGUCUGUCCAGGUGGUUCGUUAAAGGAACAAAAUGAGAAGGAGAAGGCGUUUUCCACACCUGCAGGGGCAGAGCUGUCACAGCGGCCACCGUCUCCUUGCUGUCCCCGGACCUCACUGUCCACCUGGCUCUUGCUAACUCUGACCUUGGGCUCCUGCUUGGCUGAUGAGGCCUGGCCACCCGGACUCCCCCGCGGGCCCAGGGCCUCUCCAGCUGCCCACUGUCCUUGGCUCCACUCGCCUGUCUAUCACAGAGACACACGUGAUACAUGCCAUGAGACCAAAUGCUCGGGCCUGUGAGGAGAGGCAGGGAGUUCUCUCCCAGGGGCGCAGACAUGGAGCAAGCUGAGGCCACCAGGACGACGCCAGGGCCUGGUCCUAGCAGCACCAGUAACGCUUGUCUGUGCAGUGGCCACAAACCAUGGGGUCCAGCGCCGUCCCUGACAAAGGCAGUGCCGAUUCCAGGUGGGCAGAGGGACCUCACAGUUGCCUCUGUGUGCGUGAGGCUGAGACCACAGACCCUGGGAGGUGGUGAGGACUGCAAAGCACAUUCACGCCGCAGCCUGUUCCAGCCAGGCUUUGUGUCUGUCACAGCAUUCAGGACCGAAGAGAGCACUUGGCCAGCCUGGAGCCAAGCUCCAUGAGGCGCCCACCCUAAAUGAAUGGCUGGGCGGAAUGCUGACCGACUGGGGGUCUUUCUGUUUGGUUUCCGGUCUUUGUUUUUAAAUCUUGGAGACUUUACCCCUUCCCUAUCGAUGAGAGUGAGCGUGUUGCUUUUGGUGCAGGAUAUUGUCAUCUGCUUGAGAAGAGAAAUAGGAAGCCGGGCGUGGUGGUGCACACCUGUAAUCCCAGCAUUGGGGAGGCUGAUUACUAGGAGUCUGAGGCCAGCCUGAACUACAUAGUGAGAUGUUGUCUCAAAGAACAAAACAAAACAAAAAGAGGGCAAGAGAAGAGAGAGAGAAAUAUGAAUGGACACUUAACGUUUGAUUUCUGAAGUGCUUAUUGCACGUAAUUAUCUCCAGAACUUGCUUUUGAGGUCUGGCGUGCUGAGGCUGUGAAUCUGACACCCUCAAAUGUGUGUGAGAACAGGGGACUUAGGACUGCAUUGGCCGACACACUGCGGAACCCAUGCUGGACCUUGCUUGCCAGGUGCCACAAAGGCUUGAAUCUGUUUUCUCCGGAGCACAGCCUCCCCUCCCCGCUUUCCAGCGUGACUCGGCUGAUUCCAGACACUGUCUGGCCCCUGACGCCUCUGAAAUUGCUCCCUUUAAACAUGGGAGCCCUGGCGCAUUCCUCCUCCUUCCAGGCGGGCUAACAACUGAUGAUGUCCAGUGCGUCCGGGAGCGGGAGCGAGCCACGGUACCACCCUCUGGGGUUUCACAGUCUGUGUACUGGGUCCAUUUGAUGCACUGUUGUUGGCUCUAAGAGCUAUAAAAUUUUAAACAACACUUGGAAAUAUAACCAAGAAUUUUGUCUGAGAAAAAUCAACUACAGUUUUAGCCAGGCAUGGUGGCUCACGUCUUUGAUCUCAGCACUCAGGAGGCUGAGGCAGGAGGAUCCCAGCCUGAACGACAUAAUGAGGCUUUGUCUCGAAAAUAAUAAACAAAUAAACAAUUGA
Long non-coding RNA from Heterocephalus glaber (naked mole-rat), 2987 nucleotides. RefSeq lists it as uncharacterized. The record is from RefSeq and is a predicted model, not a curated record. NCBI's taxonomy places the organism in Eukaryota, Metazoa, Chordata, Mammalia, Rodentia, Bathyergidae.